ACGAGUUAUCUGAACCUUCGGGGAACGAUAACGGCGUCGAGCGGCGGACGGGUGAGUAAUGCCUAGGAAAUUGCCCUGAUGUGGGGGAUAACCAUUGGAAACGAUGGCUAAUACCGCAUGAUGCCUACGGGCCAAAGAGGGGGACCUUCGGGCCUCUCGCGUCAGGAUAUGCCUAGGUGGGAUUAGCUAGUUGGUGAGGUAAGGGCUCACCAAGGCGACGAUCCCUAGCUGGUCUGAGAGGAUGAUCAGCCACACUGGAACUGAGACACGGUCCAGACUCCUACGGGAGGCAGCAGUGGGGAAUAUUGCACAAUGGGCGCAAGCCUGAUGCAGCCAUGCCGCGUGUGUGAAGAAGGCCUUCGGGUUGUAAAGCACUUUCAGUCGUGAGGAAGGCGGCGUCGUUAAUAGCGGCGUUGUUUGACGUUAGCGACAGAAGAAGCACCGGCUAACUCCGUGCCAGCAGCCGCGGUAAUACGGAGGGUGCGAGCGUUAAUCGGAAUUACUGGGCGUAAAGCGCAUGCAGGUGGUUUGUUAAGUCAGAUGUGAAAGCCCGGGGCUCAACCUCGGAAUAGCAUUUGAAACUGGCAGACUAGAGUACUGUAGAGGGGGGUAGAAUUUCAGGUGUAGCGGUGAAAUGCGUAGAGAUCUGAAGGAAUACCGGUGGCGAAGGCGGCCCCCUGGACAGAUACUGACACUCAGAUGCGAAAGCGUGGGGAGCAAACAGGAUUACAUACCCUGGUAGUCCACGCCGUAACGAUGUCUACUUGGAGGUUGUGGCCUUGAGCCGUGGUUUUCGGAGCUAACGCGUUAAGUAGACCGCCUGGGGAGUACGGUCGCAAGAUUAAAACUCAAAUGAAUUGACGGGGCUCGCACAGCGGUGCAGCAUGUGGUUUAAUCCGAUGCAACGCGCAGACCUUACC
RNAcentral lists this ribosomal RNA (920 nucleotides) under Vibrio alginolyticus. Its description in RNAcentral is "bacterial SSU rRNA". It matches the Rfam family "Bacterial small subunit ribosomal RNA", at positions 66 to 975 of the family's 1533-position model. The record is from RNAcentral. Lineage: Bacteria; Pseudomonadati; Pseudomonadota; Gammaproteobacteria; Vibrionales; Vibrionaceae.